AAUUGUAUGGUGUAAUGGUGAACACUCUGGACUUGGAAUCCAGAAUUAAAAAUAAAAACAUCUUGCAGUUU
This 71-nucleotide transfer RNA is filed under the name Macaca fascicularis (crab-eating macaque). It matches the Rfam family "tRNA". Rfam says of the family: Transfer RNA (tRNA) molecules are approximately 80 nucleotides in length. Their secondary structure includes four short double-helical elements and three loops (D, anti-codon, and T loops). The record is from Rfam by way of RNAcentral. RNAcentral also lists the same sequence under 1 other name. Lineage: Eukaryota; Metazoa; Chordata; Mammalia; Primates; Cercopithecidae.